ACUCGUCCAAAGCAAAGAGUUGAUCUCUGCAAGCCAUUUUUAAACGUCAGUGUGUUUGGAUGCCCCGGAGCGCACUCCUGCUGGGGGUAAUUUCGGGGCCGUCUCGCAGAGCAUCCUCUCGGGCGUCGUGAGGAGACCCGCUCCGGGACGCUCCUUCGGGUGACGUCACAGACAGAAUCCUUCCUGGGAGACGCCGGGACUGCGAUGCCGAAUUUCCCAGUGGGCGGCAUAACUGCGAAUAUGACCGUCGCGGGCAGAUCGUCCUCCUCGGCACCUGCUUGUCCGUGUUUGCUGUAAGAACGUGACGAACUCCAGCGGAACCUGCUGCUGUUAGCGAGCGGACGCAGCUGUCGGUCCUCGUCCCGCUCCGUACCGAGAGCUCCAUCCACGGACGCACC
Molecule: long non-coding RNA, 398 nt
Filed under: Scleropages formosus (Asian bonytongue)
Lineage: Eukaryota; Metazoa; Chordata; Actinopteri; Osteoglossiformes; Osteoglossidae
Description: lncRNA (ENSSFOG00015026704.1)
Source: RNAcentral